RNAcentral lists this unclassified non-coding RNA (290 nucleotides) under uncultured fungus. RNAcentral's name for it is "partial contains 5.8S rRNA, ITS2 and 28S rRNA". It matches the Rfam family "Eukaryotic large subunit ribosomal RNA", at positions 668 to 961 of the family's 3401-position model. The record is from RNAcentral. Lineage: Eukaryota; Fungi.
AAGGAGUCUAGCUCAUGUGCGAGUGUGCGGGUCUAAAUCCCCCACGCGUAACGAAAGUGAUAUCUUGGCAAGUCCUCGGACUUUCAGAAGCUACCAAUCCUGAUCUUCGGGAAUGGACUUGAGUGAGAGCACAGAUGCUAGGACCCGAAAGAUGGUGAACUAUGCCUGAAUAGGGUGAAGCCAGAGGAAACUCUGGUGGAGGCUCGUAGCGGUACUGACGUGCAAAUCGAUCGUCAAACUUGGGUAUAGGGGCGAAAGACUAAUCGAACCAUCUAGUAGCUGGUUCCCGC